AAAGAUGAACAAGGGAGCUGGUAAACCAGCUGAGAGUUAGCUGUGAGCUAAGACCUUUGACCUGAUGUGGAUAAUGCCAACGGAGGAAGGUUUAUUUAUUCUGUUU
This 106-nucleotide non-coding RNA is filed under the name Entomoplasmatales bacterium. RNAcentral's name for it is "TPP sequence". It matches the Rfam family "TPP riboswitch aptamer (THI element)". Rfam says of the family: Vitamin B(1) in its active form thiamin pyrophosphate (TPP) is an essential coenzyme that is synthesised by coupling of pyrimidine and thiazole moieties in bacteria. The previously detected thiamin-regulatory element, thi box was extended, resulting in a new, highly conserved RNA secondary structure, the THI element, which is widely distributed in eubacteria and also occurs in some archaea. Analysis of operon structures identified a large number of new candidate thiamin-regulated genes, mostly transporters, in various prokaryotic organisms. Lineage: Bacteria; Bacillati; Mycoplasmatota; Mollicutes; Entomoplasmatales. The record is from RNAcentral.